GUUCGAGAAGCUCAAUUGGUAGAGCGGAAAACUGAAGAUUUUUAGGUUGCAAGUUCGAAUCUUGUCUCGAGCA
Molecule: transfer RNA, 73 nt
Organism: Talaromyces stipitatus ATCC 10500
Lineage: Eukaryota; Fungi; Ascomycota; Eurotiomycetes; Eurotiales; Trichocomaceae
Rfam family: tRNA
About the family: Transfer RNA (tRNA) molecules are approximately 80 nucleotides in length. Their secondary structure includes four short double-helical elements and three loops (D, anti-codon, and T loops).
Source: Rfam